This 668-nucleotide long non-coding RNA is filed under the name Sus scrofa (pig). RNAcentral describes it as "lncRNA (ENSSSCG00005012467.1)". Lineage: Eukaryota; Metazoa; Chordata; Mammalia; Artiodactyla; Suidae. The record is from RNAcentral.
UAUGCCACAGCCACAGCCACCACUGGAUCGGAGCAGCUCACCACCACUCACUUGGGGCAACACCAGAUCCUUAACCCUCUGAGUGAGGCCAGGGAUCAAACCCACAUCCCCAUGAAUACUGAGGUUCGCUUCCACUGAGCCACAACAGGCACUCCUAGGAGAACAGUUUUGUCAAUGGCCCUGUUAGCCAACUCUUGGUCAGUUCACCGUCAGGAGUGACGGUGACAUCUGGAAUUGGGGCUUUUUUUUUUUUUUUUUUUACCUCUUGGUCUCAUGAACCAGCCAGAGUUCUUCAUUUCCGAGCUGGGCGUGUGCCCACCAUCAUCUGCUCCUUCGGACUCCUCCAUGUAAUCCUAGGGGACAGGCUUGUCAAGGUCCACUUGACUGAAAAAUAAAAAGAAUACUUGGGCUAGAAAAGGAGCGGUUUGAGGGAAGGCCUGUGGAAGGGUCUUUAGUGAGCAGGAAGGUGUGCGCAUGCGCACAUGCCGCCAGGCUUUGGGCGGCGUGGGAGCCAGGGGUCCCGCCAAGGGCCACAGAAAGAGGCCCAGGGAGCCAGCGAGCGAGAGAGGCUGAUGGUGGGGCCUGUAGGUGGAAUCCUGGUCUCCAAGGCAACAAGCACGACGGGGAAGCUCAGUUUUUCAGUAAUCAGCACCAGAGCCUCCUCUUAG